CCCUUAGAUGUUCUGGGCCGCACGCGCGCUACACUGAUGCAUUCAACGAGUCUAAAACCUGCUCUGAUAGGGGUGGGUAAUCUUUUGAACGUGCAUCGUGAUUGGGAUAGAUGAUUGAAAUUUUUCAUCUUCAACGAGGAAUGCCUAGUAAACGCAAGUCAUCAGCUUGCAUUGAUUACGUCCCUGCCCUUUGUACACACCGCCCGUCGCUCCUACCGAUUGAAUGAUCCGAUGAAUAUCAUGGAUUGAGGAUGCAAGUAGGUUCACCUAUCUUCAUCUUCGAGAAGUGAAGUAAAUCUUAUCAUUUAGAGGAAGGAGAAGUCGUAACA
RNAcentral lists this ribosomal RNA (329 nucleotides) under uncultured eukaryote. Its description in RNAcentral is "partial 18S ribosomal RNA". It matches the Rfam family "Eukaryotic small subunit ribosomal RNA", at positions 1470 to 1796 of the family's 1831-position model. The record is from RNAcentral.